RNAcentral lists this long non-coding RNA (438 nucleotides) under Calidris pygmaea (Spoon-billed sandpiper). RNAcentral describes it as "lncRNA (ENSCPGG00000005170.1)". Lineage: Eukaryota; Metazoa; Chordata; Aves; Charadriiformes; Scolopacidae. The record is from RNAcentral.
CAAGUGGAGUGAGCAAGGGUCACCAUUUGCAUGCAUUAGGAUAAAUCCAGAGCUGGUUCAUUGUGGAUCACUGGGUGUUUCUAAAUUUGUACUAAUAGGAUGAAGAAGGCUGUGAUUCAAUGGCAUUUCACUCACUGAAGCUAAUGAGCUCUUCCUGUCCCCACACUGACCACAGGAUAUCAGCAGAUGAGGAGAUGAAUCUAAGCCUAAGAAAGGACCAGCAGCAGCAUAAGACUUUCCUGACACAACUGACUGGCUAGCCAUGCCUGCUCUGGGGUGAAGCCCAUGUGAGAAGUGGAGGAGACUGAAGAACUUUCUUGUUUCCAGGUCGUCCAUCUGCUUUGAAGGCUGUUCAGGCACUGCAGGAUCUGUGGACAGAACAGGUAUGUUCCUCAGGUACAAGAGUCACACACUGUCUGUGGCCCUACGGGGAAGCUG